CAACUGAAGAGUUUGAUCCUGGCUCAGAUUGAACGCUGGCGGCAUGGCUAAAACAUGCAAGUCGAACGAUCCCUUCGGGGAGAGUGGCGAAAGGGCGAGGAAUACGAUCGAACGUACCCCGAGGUGGGGGAUAGCGUCGGGAAACCGGCGGUAAUACCCCAUGUCCUCUACGGAGAAAAGGUUUACCGCCUUGGGAGCGGCGAUCGUCCUAUCAGGUAGUUGGUGGGGUAAAGGCCUACCAAGCCGAAGACGGGUAGCGGGUGUGAGAGCACGACCCGCCGCAUCGGGACUGAGACACUGCCCGGACUCCUACGGGAGGCUGCAGUAACGAAUCUUCCGCAAUGCGCGAAAGCGUGACGGAGCAAUGCCGCGUGCAGGAUGAAGCGUCUACGACGUGUAAACUGCUGUCAGGGACUAGGAACAAUGACCAGUCCCAGAGGAAGGGCCGGCUAAUCUCGUGCCAGCAGCCGCGGUAAUACGAGAGGCCCGAGCGUUAAUCGGAAUCACUGGGCUUAAAGCGUACGCAGGCGGAUCGGAAGGUGUCUUGUGAAAUCCCCCGGCUUAACCGGGGAACUGCAGGGCAAACCAUCGAUCUUGAGGCAGGUAGGGGUCAGUGGAACGAUGUGUGGAGCGGUGAAAUGCGUAGAUAUACAUCGGAACGCCAAUGGCGAAGGCAGCUGACUGGGCCUGUACUGACGCUCAUGUACGAAAGCGUGGGGAGCAAACAGGAUUAGAUACCCUGGUAGUCCACGCCGUAAACGAUGCACACUAGGUCGGGGGAGCUCUCACGCUUUCCCGGCCGAAGGUAAACUGAUUAGUGUGCCGCCUGGGGAGUACGGUCGCAAGGCUAAAACUCAAAGGAAUUGACGGGGGCUCACACAAGCGGUGGAGCAUGUUGCUUAAUUCGAGGCAACGCGAAGA
This 921-nucleotide ribosomal RNA is filed under the name Planctomycetota bacterium. Its description in RNAcentral is "bacterial SSU rRNA". It matches the Rfam family "Bacterial small subunit ribosomal RNA", at positions 1 to 967 of the family's 1533-position model. Lineage: Bacteria; Pseudomonadati; Planctomycetota. The record is from RNAcentral.